This 804-nucleotide long non-coding RNA is filed under the name Homo sapiens (human). RNAcentral describes it as "long non-coding RNA NONHSAT054405.2". The record is from RNAcentral. Lineage: Eukaryota; Metazoa; Chordata; Mammalia; Primates; Hominidae.
GUUAGCGGCCAGGCCUGAACCCCAGUGGGAUAUUCUACUUCCCCAUCCCAGGAAUGGAGGGGGACUCCAGCGAAAUUACAGGGAAUUCGUGGUCACGGGACCGGCCUCCGCCAAUCGCUCGUCUGGGCCUGGUGGAAAACAGAGAGCAUUAUUUGGUUUAAUUGAUUCAAAAACACCAGAGGACCACGACCAGGACACCAUGAGCCCCCAUUCCUACACCAGUGCCUCACAUGCUCUCUCCCCAAUGCCUCCGUUUCUCCAGAAAAGCUAGAGGAACCUUUUCCUCAUCCCCUUCGAAGGAAAAGAUGAGUGAGGAUCUCCGCGUUGGAGGAAGAGGGAGUCGAAAGAGGCUUCCACUCUUUGAAAAAGACCCAAUGGUGGUUGGGCUUCGGGUCACGUGACACCUUCUUUGUGGCUCCGGAAGAGGAUUGUGAAGUUUAGGUUUCGUGGAAGAAACCGAUAAUUGAGGAAAAAAAAAAAUCAAGAUUUGGGGGGAAUUACCUACAAAGAUGUAAGGUGUGUUAAUUUGGGCGCUUCUUGGAUUCUACCCUGAGGAGGAGGCGCGUGGUGAGAGGAGAGCUCCACCAGCUGCGCGCUCGUGUACGCCGUCCGCGCCCGCUUGGACGCCGCCGACCCCGGGGGGCUCUUGUCCCCUCCCCCGCCGCCGCCGCCACCGCCCCCGCUGCCACCACUGCCUCCGCCGCCGCCGCCACCGCCGCCGCCACCACAGCCCUCUGCUGGAUCCGAGGGGGAGGGGUGGGAAGGGGAGAAAAUGAAAUAAAAGAUAAUUACUGAACACGCCGA